RNAcentral lists this ribosomal RNA (769 nucleotides) under uncultured archaeon. RNAcentral describes it as "bacterial SSU rRNA". It matches the Rfam family "Archaeal small subunit ribosomal RNA", at positions 13 to 791 of the family's 1478-position model. The record is from RNAcentral.
CCCGCCGGCGGCCACCGCUAUUGGAAUUCGAUUAAGACAUGCGAGUCGAGAGACGUAAGGUCUCGGCGGACCACUGAGUAACACGCGGAUAACAUGCCCUAAGGUGGAGGAUAACCUCGGGAAACUGAGAAUAAUACUCCAUAGAUCUAGGAUGCUGGAAUGCUUCUAAAUCCAAAACUCCGGUGCCUUAGGAUUGGUCUGCGGCGUAUCAGGUUGUAAUGGGUGUAACGUACCUACUAGCCUAUGACGCGUAUGGGCCUUGAGAGAGGAAGCCCACAGAUGGACUCUGAGACAUGAGUCCAGGCCCUACGGGGCGCAGCAGUCGCGAAAACUUCACAAUGGGAGAAAUCCCGAUGAGGGAAUUCCAAGUGCUAGCACUAUGUGUUAGCUGUUCUUUUGUCUAAAAAACAGAAGAAGUAAGGGCCGGGUAAGACGGGUGCCAGCCGCCGCGGUAAUACCCGCGGCCCGAGUGGUGGUCGAUAUUAUUGAGCCUAAAACGUCCGUAGCCGGUCUUGUAAAUCCUUGGGUAAAUCGGCCAGCUUAACUGUCCGAAGUCCGGGGAGACUGCAAGACUUGGGAUCGGGAGAGGUCAGAGGUACUUCUGGGGUAGGGGUAAAAUCCUGUAAUCCUGGAAGACCACCGGUGGCGAACGCGUCUGACUAGAACGAAUUCGACGGUGAGGGACGAAGCCCUGGGGCGCAAACGGGAUUAGAUACCCCGGUAGUCCAGGUGUAACGCUGCGGGCUUGGUGUUGGGGGUCCUUUGUGGG